This is a transfer RNA of Camelus ferus (Wild Bactrian camel), 72 nucleotides long. It matches the Rfam family "tRNA". Rfam says of the family: Transfer RNA (tRNA) molecules are approximately 80 nucleotides in length. Their secondary structure includes four short double-helical elements and three loops (D, anti-codon, and T loops). Lineage: Eukaryota; Metazoa; Chordata; Mammalia; Artiodactyla; Camelidae. The record is from Rfam.
GAGGGUAUAGCUAAGUGUUAGAGUGCAUGCUUAGCAUGCAAGAGGUCCAGGGUUCAAUACCUAGUACCUCUG